GCUUUGAAAUGGUGCAUAAAUACGAAUGUGAGGAGCUGAAUCUGUGGCUUCAGAACCCUGCCAUGCCUACCUGGCUGAUUCCCAAGCUCUAGCUCUGUCCAUUUCACCCCGGACCUACUGUGCACCUUCCACCCAUCUCACCCCUGCCACCGCCCCUGACUCCAGAAACCUGGCACGUGACAAAGAUUACAUAGUGCAUCUGAGGUCACAGGCCUGAAGAAGAGAAGGGGUGGGAGCAGAAGUGAGGGAAAGGAAAGAAAGAAGAAAGGAAGGAGGGAGGGAGGCAGGGAGGGGAGAAGGGAGGAACCCAUGAGGAAGGAGGGCUAACAUCUCAGAAAGGGAUGGUGGCUCUGCUCUGCGAUGAACCGUCUCCGGGGGCUGCAUGCAAAGCAAAAGCCAAGGAGAAUCCGCAGUAUUUAUUCACUCCGUGAACACAACAGAGAUCUAGGACAGAGCCUGGAUGAACCUCCCCACCUUGCCAACACCCUGAGUUGCCCUGCAUGGAAUUUCCAGCAGAGAGGUGCUGGGAGUGAGACGCAAGAUGAAGAGACGAGAGGGAAUGGAAAGGAGGAAAAAGAGGGGAGUGUUGCCCAGAGAAGGGGCCCAUCAGAACCCUGGGGCCUGAGCCUGAGCUGUGACAGGCGGGACCUGUCCUCCAGACUGCGGGGCCAGGGAGGCAGCGAGCCUCACCUACCAGCCGAGCCUCCAGCAAUUCACAGCAGAGAGGAAGCCACAGGCGGCUGCACCUCAGAUCAUGAACAGACUUGCUGGUGCUAAACAGGCUUCAUUGGAUGAAACCUCCUGCCUCCCCCCAAAUCACACUGCACGGAUUAAAUGUUCAAAGACACCAGACAAACCUAGGAUAUUGCCAUGGGUCAUUAUCACUAAUGGAUCGGAGAUGGGGUUAAGUCGGUCAAAUCCCUGCUCUGAGCCCAGAAAAGUCCACAGAAACCAAAUCCUGGUCACCAGAUUGAGACUGAAAUCAGGUUUAAGCGGAGAGAUGAAGAGAUGAAUGAAAGGCAGCUGGGAUGGAUCAUCUGGGGAUGCCCAUGACCCAUUUCACUGUACCCGCUCAUCGCAGGGGCACCUGGCAGCCAUACUGGAACCGUGCGGCCCUUCUCCCUGGCUGGAUGAGGAAUAAGCACCCAACCUCAGAAGGGCCAAUCAGAGUCCCAGCUGGGGUUACUAGACGGAGAGUAAUGGCAGACAGACAGACAGACAGACUGACUCCCUCCAUGGCAGGAGCUGUAACAAAACUGGGAGAUGCAGGCAGCCAUUUUGGAUGCCAUGUGGACAAAGUUGUAGCAAAAGUUAAAGGAAAGGAACCAAACCAUCAUAGGGAGGUGCAACAGGGCAGGAUCAUUAUGUAGGGGCUCAGCUUCGCGGCCCUUGUUCCAGGCACUGAGGCACUCUGCCUCUUAGAAUGCAUCACCCCUUUUUGUUCCAGCAAGCUCAGGCUGUUCUCCCACUUACAUCCAUACAAGGGCAAACUAUGCAACCAACCAAACAAUGUUGGGGAAGAAUAUUUAUUAACAGGAAAAAUGUACACAAGAAUGAUGUUGAGUGCAGAGAGCAUGUUUCUUUCCCUCCUUCAACAGAUAUUUACUGGGCACUUCCUACAUGUCAGAUGUUGCAUAUACACUGAGGAGAAAGGUCAUGGCCUCUGCCCCUGUCAAAUUUACAGUGAAGUUACCAAAUGCCAGGUAAGAUCCCACUUUAGUCAAAAGAGACGAAUAACUGGCAUGUGAUGAGUUUCACACCAGGGAAGACAAAUGAAGGGCACUUGUAACAUCUUCAAAACCAGUGCUGUUCCAACCAUCGCCUGUGGACCUCCAGCCUGGCGUCCCCUGGGAGCUUGUGACCCAUGCAGAUUCUCAACCCCUGCCCAGACCUACUGGCAGAAGGGCCCAGAAAUCUGUUCUAACAAGACUUCUGGAUGAUCCUGAUACAUUUUAAAGUGUCACAAUCACCUGCCUACAGCACAAUAGCGUCAAGAUCCCCCUUCCAAACUAAUAAGAAUUUCCAGGGACUUCCCUGGUGAUCCAGUGGCUAAUACUCCAUGCUCCCAAUCCAAGGGGCCUGGAAUCGAUCCUUGAUGGGGGACAGUAGACUCCAUAUCCCACAACUAAGAGUCUGCAUGCUGCCACUAGAAGGUCCUGCACGUCACAACUAAAAUCAAUCAAUCAAUCAAUCAAUCCUGCAUGCCGCAUCAAAGAUUGAAAAUCUCACAGGCUGCAACUAAGACCUGGCAUAGCCAAAUCAAUAAAAAUAAAUAAGUUUAAAAAAAAAAAAAAAAAGCUUCCACUUUUUCCCACGGUUUCCUUUCUCAAAUGCUGCAGUUUCAAAACCACCUAGGGAUGCAUGAGUCAACAAUUAAUUUUAACAACCAGUUAUGUAUGAAAUCACAUAUGUUAGUUAAUUGCCACAACUCCUUAACGUAGGUACUAUGUAUUUCCCACUUUACAGGUGAAAAGACUGAGGAACAGAGAGGUUAAGCCACUUGCCCAAAGUCACACAACUAAUAAGCAUUAGGUAUUGGAUUUAAAUCCAGGCAGUCUCACUCCAGAAUCAAACCUGGGUCUCCUGCAUGGCAGGCAGAUUCUUUACCACAUGAACCACCAGGGAAGCCCAACUCUCACAAACCACUAAGUUAAACUACUUGUCAAAUGAGUACUGAGCAUCUUUGCCACCCACAGAGGUAGAGAGCCCAGUCCCUGGACCGCACCCUGCAGCUCGUUCCUGAGCAGAUUUUGCUGGGACCUCACACCUGGGGAGACCUGGCCCUUCAGAUCAGGGUGUGAAGGCUCCUGAAGUCGAGAAGAGCCCACAGCCAUGCUGCCUGAGCUUCAGAAUGUAGGAGCCUCUCCAUUCACACACCCCCUGUCCUGUGGGGUCCCCACUCAGUGAGGAUGGGUUCUGGUAUCCACCUAAAACCACACUUGCAAGAAUCCUCACCUCCAGCUGCCGGCACCUGGGGGCCGACUUCUGGCUCUGUCCAGGCUCUCUCUUCCCUUAUAGGAAUCUAGAAUUCUGUGGUCCUUUCUGACUAGCUACCCUUGAUAGAAGCUGGUUUUUACCUUUGAGUCCCAAGGUGAAGACCAGAAUCUUCUAUUUCUUUUCUUCUCUUCUAGGGAAGUCCUUGGUCCCUGUUGGGGGAAAUAUUACUAAUUUUAAAAGAUAAGGGAGUAUGUGUGGCCCAGCUCACGCUCCGGGAGCAACAACAGCUGGAAGAAACAUUGGGCUGGAAGUGGCCCCCCAACUCUGCUCGCCAAUCACCGCCCAGAGCCCAGGUCCACCCCUAGCCGACAGGUCCAACCCUAGCCAACUAGUCCAAUCACACUCCUGGAGGAGUGAAGAU
Long non-coding RNA from Capra hircus (goat), 3358 nucleotides. The record is from Ensembl. NCBI's taxonomy places the organism in Eukaryota, Metazoa, Chordata, Mammalia, Artiodactyla, Bovidae.